UUUGUAACUAUAGUGAUUUAGAUUAUAUUACAAAGUUGAUUGAUGUUCCCCAAGUGUUGACAUUUUUACCUAUGUAUGUCUGUUGUGUUCACACGCUGUUGUCAAAAUAAUAUUUUUGAUGCGACUGUCAUACAAGUGAAGGGUUUGCUAGCUAUAAAACCAGGUUAAAUUCACCAUUUCUACACAAGAAAAGCCCUGUACCAAG
This 205-nucleotide long non-coding RNA is filed under the name Mytilus galloprovincialis (Mediterranean mussel). The record is from RNAcentral. Lineage: Eukaryota; Metazoa; Mollusca; Bivalvia; Mytilida; Mytilidae.